RNAcentral lists this unclassified non-coding RNA (792 nucleotides) under Hevea brasiliensis (rubber tree). Lineage: Eukaryota; Viridiplantae; Streptophyta; Magnoliopsida; Malpighiales; Euphorbiaceae. The record is from RNAcentral.
AAAAAAAAAAAAAAAAAAGAGAAGGGGAAGAAACAAAAAAAAAAAAAGAUGGGAGGUGGAUGGUGGUCCUACACAGUUCCUGAUGGCCAUUACUUCUGAAGCUUUUCAAAUUAGUGUAACGAUACAAGGCCUAAGUUUGCAUAUUGCAGGAUGCUAGUCAUAUUACUUGGUCAAAGAUUUUGUUAUUGCCUGAAGAAAGAAGUCAAUUGGUGGUGCUCUCCUUUUCCUCUCCCCACCGUCUUAGUAUAGAUUUUCUACAAUUGUCAAGCUGAAAUACUGUCGACAGAUGAAUUUUUUUUUUUCCACCUUCUAAAUCGGUUAUGUAAAUGGUAUAUGGCGGUUGUUGAUGUCUUCAUUUUAUCUGCUUGUGAGAUUAUUUGAUGGAGGAUUUGAUCAGUGUAAGGAAACCCAGGAUGGUAUUUCUUUUUAAGAUGAUUCAUGUAAAUAAUACUCAUCUGAUUUCUACAUGAAGGCUUGGGUUUUUUUGACUUGCUGAUAAAUGAUUUGCUCAACUCAUUUUUGUAGUGUAUUAGGUACCCCGCAAAAACACUUCUGCAAUUUGAUUAAAUUCUUUUCAGCUUUUGUGAUGCUAUUGGUGUGAUUCUUUUCAUUUCCCUGCCUUAUUGGAGAAUGGAAGCUAAGGUGCGAAGGCUUAUCAGACUUGGUUGGCUAGGCGUAAGGUGACCUAAUUUAUGGAGCCUGCUGUUUCAAGUCUCUCUCGUAGGAUUCUUACCAAAAGGAUAGUUUAGGACCUCAGCCUGCCUAAGGAAUUUCUUGGUGACAGCCUCAGCU